This is a long non-coding RNA of Hevea brasiliensis (rubber tree), 288 nucleotides long. RefSeq lists it as uncharacterized. The record is from RefSeq and is a predicted model, not a curated record. The transcript has 2 exons. NCBI's taxonomy places the organism in Eukaryota, Viridiplantae, Streptophyta, Magnoliopsida, Malpighiales, Euphorbiaceae.
AAAAUUUCGUGUUUCAGUGGAAAAGAAUACCGGGACAGAACCCGAGGAGUCGAGUCAAGGCCAACAGGCGACUCGUUUGAGAUACAGAGACUAGAGGAGCAGCAGACUGAGCUGCUGAAGUGUGUGAAGUCAUCAGCUUGAAGCCUUCGGGUAUAAUUUAUACCCUAACUGUAAAUACUUCUUUUGAUGUAUAUAUUGCACAUAAAUGUAUGGACAUGUAAAAAUGGGUCUUGAGCAGCUUGUACACAAAUUUGUAUGAAGUUUGUAAUAAAGUUUAGUUUAUGUUUC